CCUGAGAAAUCCAAAAGUUCGAAUGGAGAGAUUCAGCGCCAGUGGCCGUUGGCUUGCGUGUUAUUGCGAUGUCCGGGCGUCCAGGUUAUCAUCCUACGGGUUGUCUGGUCGUCGCGUGGCACGCGGUGACCGCGUCAUGUCCGACGUCGCCGGUGUGCACUUCUCUCCUAGUAGGACGUCGCGACCCGUUGGGCGUCGAUCGACGGCCCGUGUGGUAGACUGUGACGCUCAGGUGCCACAGACCAUCGCGGUGUCCCCGGCCGGCUGCCCGGCGGUAUUGAAAGCAUUAUAAAAUCAUGAUUGGUAUCGGGUCGCAAUUUCGAAUGCGUUCGGCUUGCCGAUCGACCGAGCCACGCGCGGAUCUUACGGACCUGGUGCCGUUGCCGCGCGCUUUGGCUCCAUUGAUCGGUCAAUGUCCUCGAACCGGCCCGGUUUGCGCGCGAGUCUGUUAAGGCUCGCGCAAUACCGGUCGGCGACGCUUUUGCUUUGGAUACUUUCAGG
RNAcentral lists this ribosomal RNA (501 nucleotides) under Copidosoma lucidum. RNAcentral describes it as "eukaryotic LSU rRNA". The record is from RNAcentral. Lineage: Eukaryota; Metazoa; Arthropoda; Insecta; Hymenoptera; Encyrtidae.